RNAcentral lists this ribosomal RNA (665 nucleotides) under uncultured beta proteobacterium. RNAcentral describes it as "bacterial SSU rRNA". It matches the Rfam family "Bacterial small subunit ribosomal RNA", at positions 64 to 722 of the family's 1533-position model. Lineage: Bacteria; Pseudomonadati; Pseudomonadota; Betaproteobacteria. The record is from RNAcentral.
GAACGGCAGCACGGGUGCUUGCACCUGGUGGCGAGUGGCGAACGGGUGAGUAAUACAUCGGAACAUGUCCUGUAGUGGGGGAUAGCCCGGCGAAAGCCGGAUUAAUACCGCAUACGAUCUACGGAUGAAAGCGGGGGACCUUCGGGCCUCGCGCUAUAGGGUUGGCCGAUGGCUGAUUAGCUAGUUGGUGGGGUAAAGGCCUACCAAGGCGACGAUCAGUAGCUGGUCUGAGAGGACGACCAGCCACACUGGGACUGAGACACGGCCCAGACUCCUACGGGAGGCAGCAGUGGGGAAUUUUGGACAAUGGGCGAAAGCCUGAUCCAGCAAUGCCGCGUGUGUGAAGAAGGCCUUCGGGUUGUAAAGCACUUUUGUCCGGAAAGAAAUCCUUGGUUCUAAUAUAGCCGGGGGAUGACGGUACCGGAAGAAUAAGCACCGGCUAACUACGUGCCAGCAGCCGCGGUAAUACGUAGGGUGCGAGCGUUAAUCGGAAUUACUGGGCGUAAAGCGUGCGCAGGCGGUUUGCUAAGACCGAUGUGAAAUCCCCGGGCUCAACCUGGGAACUGCAUUGGUGACUGGCAGGCUAGAGUAUGGCAGAGGGGGGUAGAAUUCCACGUGUAGCAGUGAAAUGCGUAGAGAUGUGGAGGAAUACCGAUGGCGAAGGC